GGAGCAGCAUAUGGAUCAGCCUGCAUCGACACAUACGCUCCAAAAACUGGAUGUCCUGUCAUUGGAGGAUUCAAACAAUGGACCGUCAGGGUGCCGCGUUUCCUCAUCGCCCAUUUGGAACCGUUCUGUUUUUGACUGGGGAAUUACAUUUUACACCACCAGAGAUCGCGCAGGAUCUUUCCACACAUAUCCUGAUGUGGGCAGGCCAUUUCAUAGCUUAGAUGAAGUUAACAGCGCUAUCGACCGGUAUCUCAUUGACAACCAGGAUCCAACAAUGUGUGCGGGGCUUUCUGGAGUGGACGCGAUGAUAAAACGUGUUCGUUACUAUCCUGAUGGCACAAAGAAGCGUGGAUCAGAAGUCAAAGAUAAAAGGCGUGAUGAGGAUUACCAGUUGGCUCGAACUUUGGUGGACAAGUAUAACGACCAUCACAAUCUUUUUGGGGAUCUUGCAUAUGACGUCAAAGAUUUUCUGCAUGGCAACCCUCUUUGGGAGGAUUAUUAUAUCCAUUGGACGUACUUUCAUAUGAAUUUCACUGCAAAGACCGAAGGAUCUUAUGGUGUCGACACUGGCAACCUAUUCUUUGCUGAAGUCAAAUAUAAUCGAGGAGAUGAUGGAUUAACGGUGAACAGUUGCUGUAUACUUGAACCUUCUUCUGAUCAUGCCAACCUUUUAACAUUCAAUUGUGAAGCUGUUAAUAUGUGUUCGCGCCUGGUUAGUUAUUUGGCAGUUAAAUGAAAAUUACCCCUCCUUUUUUAAACAAAGGCCUCUGCUAUGGUUGUGGAGGUGAUGUGAAGCACCCCAAUGAUGGUAAUGCAUAUGCUUGCGGUCGGCGGAACAUGUCGUAUCGUUUUCAGAAUGGUGGACCUCAACUACCUCCGGACUACUACGAGGACCGCUAUUACGAGGACUCUGAUGAAGAAGUGGAAAGGCUGAGAUCUCAGUUCAAGGAGUACGAUGAUGAUCCAGAUACUGCAGAGCAACUCGAGCCUCAUAGCGUACAAUUUGAGGCUUAAUUAACCGCCGAAGUCAAAAUUAGAACGGUGUUCCUGGCAUGAAAGAACUCGUCUCCUAUUUUUCUUCCGACUUAACACUUUGAUAUGGCCGCUAUGGGAUCUGCCUCCGUCUGUCGUUCUCUGAGGAAUAUUAUGUAUACAUCUUGUAUUAAUUAGUCUGCCUAACCUUUAGGAUACGGUCUAACCCUGUAAGAAUUUAGUUAAUUUGAUUGAACUAAAAAGAGUAAGAAUUUAGUUAUUUUGAUUGAACUAAAGAGAGUUAGAGGAUACACACAGUACCCGUUUGGUCCAUAUGGUGUUUCCUUUACCCGUAAGACACAACUGUUUUCUCUGUCGUUCUUCAUCGUCCAUGUGGUACCAUGCAUCUUGGGUCGUGGUGAUGUUGGGGUCGUGCCAUCUUCGGCGUUGUAUGGGUCGGGCCAUCU
This is a long non-coding RNA of Triticum aestivum (bread wheat), 1439 nucleotides long. RefSeq lists it as uncharacterized. The record is from RefSeq and is a predicted model, not a curated record. Lineage: Eukaryota; Viridiplantae; Streptophyta; Magnoliopsida; Poales; Poaceae. The transcript is spliced from 6 exons.